CAGCAUUCAGCAUUCAGCUAUAGUGUUGAAGCCAAUGUGAGGACCCCUGUAUAUGCUGAGCUCUACGGAAAAUUAAGCAAAAUAGAGAGGUACAGCAUUUAGAAAUGCUAGCAGUGGGGUAAAGAAAAGAUCAUGGGAUUUGGGAUUGCACAGAGUCCAGUGGUGCACUGAUUUUGCUGAUUAAACUGAUAAAUAAUGAACUCAAAAUGUUUUAGGCAGCUGUUAGUGUCAGAGAUCAGAUUAAUCUUCAGCAUGAAAGAGAGAAGAUAUUCAAGUUUACAGCACUCCGGAGCAGGAUUUGAAUAAAAUAGACGAAAGGCUUUUGACUUCAAUGAAUUAUAGAAGUGGACAGAGACAUUUUUUAUGUGUGACCCACUGCUGAUGGAAGUUAAAGGUUCAUUGUAGGGGUUGGAAGGGACAUCUGUAGAUCAACGAGUACAACUUUGCCUGCUAAUGCAGGUUCCCUACAGUAGGUUGAACUGGAAAGCAUCCAGACAGCAUAUGAAUAUCUCCAAAGAAAGAGACUCCACAUUUUCUCUGGG
Long non-coding RNA from Gallus gallus (chicken), 542 nucleotides. The record is from Ensembl. NCBI's taxonomy places the organism in Eukaryota, Metazoa, Chordata, Aves, Galliformes, Phasianidae.